Molecule: ribosomal RNA, 469 nt
Filed under: uncultured bacterium
Lineage: Bacteria
Description: partial 16S ribosomal RNA
Rfam family: Bacterial small subunit ribosomal RNA
Source: RNAcentral
GAUGAACGCUGGCGGCGUGCUUAACACAUGCAAGUCGAACGGUGAACACGGAGCUUGCUCUGUGGGAUCAGUGGCGAACGGGUGAGUAACACGUGAGCAACCUGCCCCUGACUCUGGGAUAAGCGCUGGAAACGGCGUCUAAUACUGGAUAUGUGACGUGACCGCAUGGUCUGCGUUUGGAAAGAUUGUUCGGUUGGGGAUGGGCUCGCGGCCUAUCAGCUUGUUGGUGAGGUAAUGGCUCACCAAGGCGUCGACGGGUAGCCGGCCUGAGAGGGUGACCGGCCACACUGGGACUGAGACACGGCCCAGACUCCUACGGGAGGCAGCAGUGGGGAAUAGUGCACAAUGGGCGCAAGCCUUAUGCAGCAACUCCGCGUGAGGGAUGACGGCCUUCGGGUUGUAACCCUCUUUUAGCAGGGAAGAAGCGAAAGUGACGGUACCUUCAGAAAAAGCGCCGGCUAACUACGUG